UGUAUCUGAAAUCAAGCAGGAUCACCCGCUGAACUUAAGCAUAUCACUAAGCGGAGGAGAAGAAAUUAACUAAGAUUGCCUCAGUAACGGCGAGUGAAGCGGCAAAAGCCCAAAAUGUAAAUCUUGUGCACAUCGUGUACACGAAUUGUAAUCUAGAGAGAGUUUACUCAACGGGCGGGGUCGCAGAAGUGACCACGAACGGUCCGCCAGAGAGGGUGAAAGCCCCGUAUGUGGUGGCCCUGCUUAACGAGUAGGUUUUCGAAGAGUCGGGUUGUUUUGUAUUGCAGCCCUAAGUGGGAGAUAAACUUCUUCUAAGGCUAAAUAUUAAUGGGAAACCGAUAGCGAACAAGUACUGUGAAGGAAAGAUGAAAAGAACUUUGAAAAGAGAGUCAAAAGACUUGAAAUCGUUGAGAAGGAAGGGGUAGAAGUUUAUUCUUCGGCGUAUGCAGAGUUUAGUUGCCUAACCAUUGCGGGCUAAGGAUACGUUAAAGGUCCUGGUUUGUACCUGGGGAAGCAACUGGAUGAGUGUGCGUCGUGAGACAAGAUGGGGUCGGGCGGCCACAAAGGCUUUGUACAACCGGUUUCCUUCGGGAGGCAGUGUGCGGAUGUCGGUGGAAGCUCGGCCUGAGGAUGCUUUCGGCGAUCUUGUCAAAAUGGCUCUUACCCACCCGUCUUGAAACACGGACCAAGGAGUCUAACAAGUAUGCGAGUGUGCUAGUGGAAAAACUAACACGCGUAAUGAAGGUGAUUGAUGCCAAGCGCAAGCAGCAGCAUCGACCGACCAUGAUCCUCCGGUGAAAGGUUUGAGUACGAGCAUAAUUGUUAGGACCCGAAAGAUGGUGAACUAUGCCUGAGUAGGGUGAAGCCAGGGGAAACUCUGGUGGAGGCUCGUAGCGGUUCUGACGUGCAAAUCGAUCGUCGAACUUGGGUAUAGGGGCGAAAGACUAAUCGAACCAUCUAGUAGCUGGUUCCCUCCGAAGUUUCCCUCAGGAUAGCUGGGACAAAUACGCAGUUUUAUUAGGUAAAGCGAAUGAUUAGAGGCCUCGGGGGUGCAAUGCCCUCGACCUAUUCUCAAACUUUAAAUUGGUAAGAACCCUGGCCUUUCUUAAUUGAGGCAUGGGGGCUCAAUGCGUGUCCCAAGUGGGCCAUUUUUGGUAAGCAGAACUGGCGAUGAGGGAUGCUCCUAACGUCGAGUUAAGGUGCCCAACUGCACGCUCAUCAGAUACCACAAAGGGUGUUGGUUCAUCCAGACAGCAGGACGGUGGCCAUGGAAGUCGGAACCCGCUAAGGAGUGUGUAACAACUCACCUGCCGAAUGGACUAGCCCCGAAAAUGGAUGGCGCUCAAGCGUGCGACCGAUACUCGACCAUU
RNAcentral lists this ribosomal RNA (1370 nucleotides) under Sterkiella nova. RNAcentral describes it as "eukaryotic LSU rRNA". It matches the Rfam family "Eukaryotic large subunit ribosomal RNA", at positions 1 to 1356 of the family's 3401-position model. Lineage: Eukaryota; Ciliophora; Spirotrichea; Sporadotrichida; Oxytrichidae. The record is from RNAcentral.